RNAcentral lists this small RNA (202 nucleotides) under Brachyspira murdochii DSM 12563. Its description in RNAcentral is "6S RNA". Lineage: Bacteria; Pseudomonadati; Spirochaetota; Spirochaetia; Brachyspirales; Brachyspiraceae. The record is from RNAcentral.
ACAACUCUGCUGUUCUCGUUAAGCGAUUGUACAUUCUUGCGCCAGUAUAAAUUAAUGCAUUAGGGAUCUGGAGCGAAGCAUUAAUGAUAGGCUCGCCGGUAUCGCGAUACGGUUUUGAGAAAUCAAGGUCAUGUUUCUGAGGAGCCCACCUGACGCGAAAAGUCAGGCGCAUUUAUGUCGUAUACGGCUCAGCGGAGGUAUU